This 667-nucleotide unclassified non-coding RNA is filed under the name Hevea brasiliensis (rubber tree). The record is from RNAcentral. Lineage: Eukaryota; Viridiplantae; Streptophyta; Magnoliopsida; Malpighiales; Euphorbiaceae.
GUUUUCUCACACGCGAAUAUGUAGGGUGAUCAGCUCAACCCAGACCAUUUCAAAAAAUUUCAAAGAAAUUCGUAUCAAAUUUCUUCGUAGAACAAAAUAUAGGCUUCACUUUGAAGAACUUCUUCCAAUGGGACCUCUCGUACGUAGGCAUCACUGGCAUAAUACCACACAUAAUCUUCCGCGUCCUUGUCUUUCCCAGCGAUCUUUGGGCCUCCUCUAAUAUAUGCAACAUAGUGACCUCCUCUCAUAGUCCCUGAAUGUUCCACGACACCUAAAAGCCGGUACUUGUAAGCCUCCUUCUGCAAGCACCUGGGAUCAAUAAAGGUUGUGAGAUCAAUAGUAUCUCUGAAAUUCACGUGGCCACUCAGCUUACUUAAACGUCCGCGAGCAUCCUGGCUGAACCUCUUUAGAUGAAUUGUCAAAAUAGGAGGGGCUUUAUCAAUGAGUAUCCUUUUAAAUGCAUCUCUUUCCACUUUGAUACCUUUAGAAUUGGUCUCGUUCUCACUUUCUCCAGAUUCAUAAUAAGCAGAACCUUCAUCCAACUGAACUCCAUCGGUCUGACUAUCGCAAUUUACUAGACUACAAGCUUCUUCCUGACUUGAAUCUACCCCACCUUCUGACGGGUUAGAAACUGGAUCUUCAUCAGCUCUGUGGCUAGUUUCUGGCA